GUUUGAUUAUGGCUCAAGAUUGAACGCUGGCGGGAUGCUUUACAUGCAAGUCAGACGGCAGCACGGACUUCGGUCUGGUGGCGAGCCAGCGAACGGGUGAGUAAUGUAUCGGAACGUGCCUAGUAGCGGGGGAUAACUACGCGAAAGCGUAGCUAAUACCACAUACGCCCUUCCAGGGAAAGCAGGGGGACCUUCAGGCCUCGCACUGACCGUCGG
This 216-nucleotide unclassified non-coding RNA is filed under the name uncultured Bordetella sp. Its description in RNAcentral is "partial 16S-23S ribosomal RNA intergenic spacer". It matches the Rfam family "Bacterial small subunit ribosomal RNA", at positions 11 to 232 of the family's 1533-position model. Lineage: Bacteria; Pseudomonadati; Pseudomonadota; Betaproteobacteria; Burkholderiales; Alcaligenaceae. The record is from RNAcentral.